RNAcentral lists this ribosomal RNA (484 nucleotides) under uncultured bacterium. Its description in RNAcentral is "partial 16S ribosomal RNA". It matches the Rfam family "Bacterial small subunit ribosomal RNA", at positions 28 to 507 of the family's 1533-position model. The record is from RNAcentral.
GAUUAACGCUAGCGGCAGGCAUAAUACAUGCAAGUUGAACGGCAGCACAGGUAGCAAUACUGGGUGGCGAGUGGCGCACGGGUGCGUAACACGUAUGCAACCUACCCUAUACAGGCGAAUAACCUUUAGAAAUGAGGGCUAAUACGCCGUAGUAUUACAGAUGGGCAUCUAUUUGUAAUUAAAGAUUUAUCGGUAUAGGAUGGGCAUGCGUCCCAUUAGUUAGUUGGUAAGGUAACGGCUUACCAAGACGAUGAUGGGUAGGGGAUCUGAGAGGACUUACCCCCACACUGGUACUGAGACACGGACCAGACUCCUACGGGAGGCAGCAGUAAGGAAUAUUGGGCAAGGGCCGCGAGGCUGACCCAGCCAUGCCGCGUGCAGGAAGACGGCCUUAUGGGUUGUAAACUGCUUUUAUACGGGAAUAAUAGAGUGUACGCGUACAUUUAUGCAAGUAUCGUAUGAAUAAGCAUCGGCUAACUCCGUG